RNAcentral lists this ribosomal RNA (123 nucleotides) under Paenibacillus sp. VCA1. Its description in RNAcentral is "partial 16S ribosomal RNA". It matches the Rfam family "Bacterial small subunit ribosomal RNA", at positions 1 to 117 of the family's 1533-position model. The record is from RNAcentral. Lineage: Bacteria; Bacillati; Bacillota; Bacilli; Caryophanales; Paenibacillaceae.
UUCUUGGAGAGUUUGAUCCUGGCUCAGGACGAACGCUGGCGGCGUGCCUAAUACAUGCAAGUCGAGCGGACCUUAGCGAUCUUCGGAUCGCUCUUGGUUAGCGGCGGACGGGUGAGUAACACG